Molecule: non-coding RNA, 1730 nt
Organism: Bemisia tabaci
Lineage: Eukaryota; Metazoa; Arthropoda; Insecta; Hemiptera; Aleyrodidae
Source: RefSeq, a predicted model, not a curated record
UCAUUGUAAAAGUGCACGAUGUAAUGAACAACUUGACAUCGCGUCCACAGAAACUUAUAAAAACAAAAAAAUAACCUCCAAACGACUGAGCAUGUUUUGUGUAUUCAGUCGUGAAAUAGUGGACACAAAUUUAGACUCAGUUAGAUCAGCGAACUAUUGAAAAAAAAAUCCGAAAAAAAACUAUGCCAGUGAAGAUAAUUAAAUGAGAAAUAGAGUUAAGUGCAUUAUCUUUCAUGUGUUGAGGUUGAAGGACUGAUAGCGCAUUUUGAAAUCCUUGUAGAGAGGUAAGGAGAGAUUAAAGUUGAUCGUUUGUCACUACUAAAUGGAUCGUUGUGUAGGUGUGCCGCAUUGAAAAAGCUAUGCCAGAAAUUCUAGAAUCCUAAUUUAUCUCCCUUAAUUAAACAUUUUAUAUUGAAAAUGGGCUAAGUGUCCAAUUUUCGAAACCUUGAGUAGUCACCUACUGUAAAUAAUACUCGUGCGAUUAUUCACUUUUAAUUUCCUCGUGAGAGGAAGUUAUUUAAAUCUUGAAAAAGAACCUCCUAAAAGUCAGUUUUGAACUACGUGUGUACGUAUUACACGCAAAGAAAAUGUUUUUUCUCUUCGUCAGCAACGACGAUACCAAAACAUUUUAUGGAAAGAAUACAUUCGCUCAUUCUUUGGAUCUAAAUGAUAAAAAGGUGCUUGGGCAUCUGCAUGCCCUGUGAUCUUUGAUGAAAUAAUCUGCAAUUGGCGAUGGCUGACCUAGAAUCUACACCUCGUGUAAUAUGAUAUCCUUAACGUAAAAUUUAAACCAUAUCCAGUUAUCUGAGAGUACUCGAAAUACAUAAUAUCUUCUUCCAAAAACCCUGCAAUUGCCGUCUCACUACCUGCAAGUUUACUGACGUGAGCUUUGCGAUUAACACUGUGCCACCUGAUCCUCGAUCUUCAAACAACCAUCAGUUGACUCAGACUUGGGAUCUACGAUGAUCUGCGAAAUGGACCAAAACAUUGCCAUGAUUGCUACGCUGAGAAGCUUAAAAUACGGGAAAAUAUUGAGGAUGAUUUGAGCAACUUUCACUGUCUCCAAGUUCAAAAUGAACUGUUGGGCAUGGUGCUGUCCGCAGGACACAGCGGCUUGUUGCUGUUGCAUCACCGCGGUCUUUUUGAUAUUCGUCGUGUUCUUGCCCCUCGGAUAUUACGCCGCCGUCAAGCACCCAUGGCUGUACACUGUUGAUCCUUACAAAACCACCCAGGUCUACCACCCCCCUCAUAACGUCAAUCAAACUUUCUGGGCUGUUCUACCUGCAAUGCCUGGUUAAAGCCAUGUACCCUGUCAUGCGGAGGAAAUAUACUUCAUGCAAAAUCGAAAGCCCCCGAUGAAACGCCACAUUCUUCAAGAACUCUUUGAUUUUUUCUCCGGUUUUUUUUCAGAGAAUUUUAUUUGCAUUUGAUUAAAUGUACACGAAAAUAUCAGAAAAAACUAUUCAUGACUUGUCUGAAAAUUAAAUAUUUCAACGGAGGAUUUUUAGUAACAUUCGAAAAAUUAUUGAAGGUUCUUCCUUAGCAGAGUAUCACCUACUUCAGGUUCAAACACUGGUGGGUAGGUCUGAAAAUUACCCUGGUCAUCAUAGUCGUGCAUCAAGCAUCUCUUUCGCAUGUGGUAGAGAGAAUUCAUAUUAAGUGAAAAUGGUCACCAAAUUUCUCUGUACCUAUUUCUUAAUAAUUGAAUUUUCCGGUAAUUUGAUUUUAAA